CUAAAUCAAAGCUCAGUGCAAGGAAGGAGGUGAGAUUCCUCAGAUAGUUAGGAGGUGAGCUUAGAAGCAGCUACCCUUUAAAAAGUGCGUAACAGCUUACUAACUAAGGGAUUUCGCGCCGAAGAUUUCCGGGGCUUAAGCUUUGUGCCGAAACUGGGGAUGGAUACCGCUUGCGGUAUCCAUGGUAGGGGAGCGUUCUCAGUGCACUGAAGCUGUGCCGUGAGGCAUGGUGGAGCGCUGAGAAGUGAGAAUGUUGGCAUGAGUAAUCACAAGUCGGAUGAGAACUCCGACCUCCGAAAGCCCAAGGUUUCCUUGGCAAUGACAAUCAACCAAGGGUUAGGCGGGCCUAAGGUGUGCGCCGAACGGUGUACACCGAUGGACAGCCGGUUAAUAUUCCGGCCCGGCCGCAAAAUAAUCUUGAAGUGACGCAGUCAAAAUUUUUGGGAGGAUUAUUGGAUUUCCGAGUUCCGCCUUUGGGCGGGACGCCUCAAAGACAAGAUUGCCCAGAAAAGCUUUAAGUAUACUAUUUUGAUGGCCUUCGUACCGCACACUGACACAGGUGGGCAGGCGUGAAUACGCCAAGGUGAACGAGUGAAAGCUCCUAAAGGAACUCGGCAAAAAAGUAGGCGUAAGUUCGCAAUAUGCCUUGCCCAAGUCCGUAAGGAUUUUGGGUUGCAACAAAAGAUUCCAAGUGACUGUUUAUCAAAGACACAGGUCCCUGCUAACUCGUAAGAGGAUGUAUAGGGGCUGAGAUCUGACCAGUGCCCGUGUGUUAACAGCGUCGGUCAGGAUGCAACGCAAGUUGCGUACUGGCUACAUGCUUUAAGCCACAGGUGAACGUCCGCGGUAACUCUGACCGUGUUAAAGUAGCGUAACCCCUUGCCGUGUAAGUUACGGCCCGCAUGAAAGAUUUAACGACUUGGAAACUGUCUCUAGGAGCCGCUCGGUGAAAUCGCAAUACCGGUGAAGAUGCCGGUUACCUGCGGCUAGACGGAAAGACCCCGGGAGCUUUACUGUAGGGUGGUAUUGAAUUUAGAGUUUUGAUGCGUAGCGUAGUGGGUAGGAUUUGAAGUCUCGUUUUCGGACGGGACGGAUCCGCCAAUGAAACACCCAUCUUUGAAACUCUCUGUUCUAACCCCACUUUGUGGGGGACAGUGCUACUUGGGCAGUUUAAGUGGGGCGCUUGCCUCCUAAAUUGUAACGGAGGCGUUUAAAGGUCGGCUAGCUCCGGAUGGAAAUCGGAGCGAUAGGGCAAAGCCAAAAGCCGGCUUUACUGCGAGACGGGUAUGUCGAGCAGUUGGGAAACCAGAACUUAGUGAACCGAUGCUGGUUAAUAGAAUCGGCAAAGAUCAUCAACCAAAAGUUACCCCGGGGAUAACAGGCUAGUAGGGCCCGCGAGUCCAUAUCAACGGCCCUGUUCGGCACCUCGAUGUCGGCUC
Molecule: ribosomal RNA, 1439 nt
Filed under: bacterium
Lineage: Bacteria
Description: partial 23S ribosomal RNA
Rfam family: Bacterial large subunit ribosomal RNA
Source: RNAcentral